UUAUUUACUUUUUUUUGAGUGACGAUUAUGUCAUAGUUUUCAAUUUUACAGAGAAGUGCUUGCUGAUGAACACAUUGUUGUAUUCCCCGGCUGUAAUCAGGACACAGUUUCCUCUCCAGAAGUUCACCAGCAGCAAGGUUCAACAAGAAGCAGCUGAAGCAUCCUGACAGAGGAAGCAUCCACUCCUUGUCACUGCAGUGGAUCUCCCUUUCCUGGUGUUCUCCUCAGGAGCCACCCUGGUUCCAAGCAGCACCUGUAUUGUGUUUCCAAGCAGAGUGACUCAUGAGAGCAGCACUCCAACUCCUGUUUCGUGAGCUGACUCCGUAGAUGUGAACAGAGCUGCUGGGAACACAGGACCUGCUGCAAACAUAUUUCUGCUUAUCAACCAGCAACUUGAACUUUGUAGUGCUUCAGAUUUAUUCAUAUUUUCAGUUUUUUUUCUAUGCUUCUGGUUGUGAUAAAUUUUUCUGACAGUGAGCAGGAAUUUAUAAAAUUAUCAGUUUUUAUAAUUUAUCAGUUUACUGAUAUCUGGGCACAGUAUUCAGCAGGGGUAAGGCUGAGACAUGGAAAUAAGACUGGGCAAGGACUUCUGAUCUACAGGUGCCUCUAUCUGCUGCUGCACUUCAUGAAAUCACUUUUGAAACCCUGGAAAGUUCUAUCUUAGGACAAGUGAAGUUUCCUGACUCCAUUCCUGCAGUGAGGAGACACCACAACCUCAGUUCUCUGUUGACUGAAGACUUUCUCCUACUUUGCAUUGCAAAUAUUUGUAUGACUAAUUCAAACCCACUGGCUUGUUUCUACUUUUUUCCUCUCCAGUUUUCUCUUUUGCUAAAAUAAUGUUUGCUUCUCCCAGGCCUUGAGACCAAUAAGUUUACUCACAGUGAACAGGUUUUCUCGGAGCUUCAUCUAAACUGAAGCUGUUGUGUUGGGUGGAAUGAAAUUUAAAACAUUUAUGAUAAAUCAUAAUUCAUAAAGUUUUUUCUAAUUUCCAUGUAUCUCUGUUUUUUCUACUUCUGUCUAGACUCAGUAGAUGUAUUUGAAUUCUGGAUUUAGCACCUGGCUAAAUCCUACUAACCUUCAGAAAGUUUCACCCCAGUUUAUUCAAUAAAAAAAAAGCCAACUCCCCCAAGCACAACUAGAAACCAUUAGAAAAACAUAAAAAGCUCUGAUUUAUGCUGGAUAUCAGAUGAAAUCAUCUUAUCCCCUCUGAUAUGCAAUCUAUGAAUGCAGAAAAUUUUGGCUGACUCAUGAGAGUCCCAGAAUGGCACUAGAUGUUGACAGAUAUAUUAAGAAGAGCUAAGCAAUUUUUUGUACCAAUGCAGAGGCAGGGGAGAUGUGUUCAUUAGUUGUUGGUGAAAUUACUGAAAGUGCUGCAAUAAAGUUUGGUAAACUUUUUACCUUCCCUAAUCACAGGCUUACCUGGGUCACAAGCAUUAGUCAUGGAUAUUCAUUGCAAACUGCAAGCUCGUAAAAGACAGCAUAUGGCAGCCCCAAAUUUCUUGCUAUAUAAAGUUAUAUUCACAGUAAUAACAUCUGUGCAGAAUUUAGAGCCCCACCAAUUAAAGUGAGGUCAACGUGCUGAGGCAGAGAUUGAUGGCAUUCUGCAAAUCUUAAACGACAAGUUAAAUAGGUAUAAAAUAAACAAACAACUUUAUUUCUUAUUAAAGAGCAGACAAGCGGGGUGAGAAUGCUGAGUGCUCAGUAAUGAGGGCCAAGAGGAGCAGGGCAAUGCUGUGGGUUGUGGCUGGGCUGGAACUCAGCAGUGAGGGGUGCACACAGAGCAGGCUCUUGGUGCCUUAUUUUUUUGCUGGUAUAACACAAGUAACAAAUAAAAACUGCUGGGCAGAGCCCUGAAACCCCAACCUGUGAAACUCAGGCUACAAAAGUAUAGAAAGAAGAAGAGGAAGACACACAAGGAGUGGAUGAGGUGACUUGGUCUGUUCAGCUGGAGGAGACUCAUCUUGGUCUAACUUCUUCAGGAGGGGCAGGUAACAGCUCAGUUCUGGGUGUAGGCAGGAACACCUCCAUCAGAACUUAGGUUCUAAAUUGUUUGUUUUUCUUAAAUGGGUAAUGUAACUUUUCUAAAGUGGUUUCUGCCUUAAUUUUUCAGUGAGUGGUGCAAUUUUUGCAGGAAGAAAGAGUUAAAUUGCAAGUAGUGACUAAAAUCACUGUGAUUGGGUUGACCCCACCAGGGAGCUCUUCCUUUGACUCAGUUUGUCUGUUGUGUUGCACUUGAAGUUUAGGAAGUCCUUGUCAAUAAAAACAACAGUACUGGAGAAAA
Taeniopygia guttata (zebra finch) is the source of this 2281-nucleotide non-coding RNA. NCBI's taxonomy places the organism in Eukaryota, Metazoa, Chordata, Aves, Passeriformes, Estrildidae. The record is from RefSeq and is a predicted model, not a curated record.